Molecule: ribosomal RNA, 386 nt
Filed under: Ochromonas tuberculata
Lineage: Eukaryota; Chrysophyceae; Chromulinales; Chromulinaceae
Description: partial small subunit ribosomal RNA
Rfam family: Eukaryotic small subunit ribosomal RNA
Source: RNAcentral
GCUUGUCUCAAAGAUUAAGCCAUGCAUGUCUAAGUAUAAACGAUUUUAUACGUGAAACUGCGAAUGGCUCAUUAUAUCAGUUAUAGUUUAUUUGAUGGUCCUUACUAUUUGGAUAACCGUAGUAAUUCUAGAGCUAAUACAUGCAUCAAGCCCUGACUUCGGAAGGGGUGUAUUUAUUAGAUGGAAACCAAUGCGGGGCAACCCGGAAUAUGGUGAUUCAUAAUAACUUUCGGAUCGUUUACGAUGCAUCAUUCAAGUUUCUGCCCUAUCAGCUUUGGAUGGUAGGAUAUGGGCCUACCAUGGCGUUAACGGGUAACGGGGAAUUAGGGUUUGAUUCCGGAGAGGGAGCCUUAGAAACGGCUACCACAUCCAAGGAAGGCAGCAGG